RNAcentral lists this ribosomal RNA (1540 nucleotides) under Staphylococcus aureus. RNAcentral's name for it is "16S ribosomal RNA". It matches the Rfam family "Bacterial small subunit ribosomal RNA". Lineage: Bacteria; Bacillati; Bacillota; Bacilli; Caryophanales; Staphylococcaceae. The record is from RNAcentral.
AGAGUUUGAUCCUGGCUCAGGAUGAACGCUGGCGGCGUGCCUAAUACAUGCAAGUCGAGCGAACGGACGAGAAGCUUGCUUCUCUGAUGUUAGCGGCGGACGGGUGAGUAACACGUGGAUAACCUACCUAUAAGACUGGGAUAACUUCGGGAAACCGGAGCUAAUACCGGAUAAUAUUUUGAACCGCAUGGUUCAAAAGUGAAAGACGGUCUUGCUGUCACUUAUAGAUGGAUCCGCGCUGCAUUAGCUAGUUGGUAAGGUAACGGCUUACCAAGGCAACGAUGCAUAGCCGACCUGUGAGGGUGAUCGGCCACACUGGAACUGAGACACGGUCCAGACUCCUACGGGAGGCAGCAGUAGGGAAUCUUCCGCAAUGGGCGAAAGCCUGACGGAGCAACGCCGCGUGAGUGAUGAAGGUCUUCGGAUCGUAAAACUCUGUUAUUAGGGAAGAACAUAUGUGUAAGUAACUGUGCACAUCUUGACGGUACCUAAUCAGAAAGCCACGGCUAACUACGUGCCAGCAGCCGCGGUAAUACGUAGGUGGCAAGCGUUAUCCGGAAUUAUUGGGCGUAAAGCGCGCGUAGGCGGUUUUUUAAGUCUGAUGUGAAAGCCCACGGCUCAACCGUGGAGGGUCAUUGGAAACUGGAAAACUUGAGUGCAGAAGAGGAAAGUGGAAUUCCAUGUGUAGCGGUGAAAUGCGCAGAGAUAUGGAGGAACACCAGUGGCGAAGGCGACUUUCUGGUCUGUAACUGACGCUGAUGUGCGAAAGCGUGGGGAUCAAACAGGAUUAGAUACCCUGGUAGUCCACGCCGUAAACGAUGAGUGCUAAGUGUUAGGGGGUUUCCGCCCCUUAGUGCUGCAGCUAACGCAUUAAGCACUCCGCCUGGGGAGUACGACCGCAAGGUUGAAACUCAAAGGAAUUGACGGGGACCCGCACAAGCGGUGGAGCAUGUGGUUUAAUUCGAAGCAACGCGAAGAACCUUACCAAAUCUUGACAUCCUUUGACAACUCUAGAGAUAGAGCCUUCCCCUUCGGGGGACAAAGUGACAGGUGGUGCAUGGUUGUCGUCAGCUCGUGUCGUGAGAUGUUGGGUUAAGUCCCGCAACGAGCGCAACCCUUAAGCUUAGUUGCCAUCAUUAAGUUGGGCACUCUAAGUUGACUGCCGGUGACAAACCGGAGGAAGGUGGGGAUGACGUCAAAUCAUCAUGCCCCUUAUGAUUUGGGCUACACACGUGCUACAAUGGACAAUACAAAGGGCAGCGAAACCGCGAGGUCAAGCAAAUCCCAUAAAGUUGUUCUCAGUUCGGAUUGUAGUCUGCAACUCGACUACAUGAAGCUGGAAUCGCUAGUAAUCGUAGAUCAGCAUGCUACGGUGAAUACGUUCCCGGGUCUUGUACACACCGCCCGUCACACCACGAGAGUUUGUAACACCCGAAGCCGGUGGAGUAACCUUUUAGGAGCUAGCCGUCGAAGGUGGGACAAAUGAUUGGGGUGAAGUCGUAACAAGGUAGCCGUAUCGGAAGGUGCGGCUGGAUCACCU